UCCCCCGGGGCCUCGGAGAGCCGCGCGCUGGGCGUGUGCGCGCGCGCGGAUUCGGUGGGGGAAUCUCCUUCGGUGGAAGCUGCUGAGUGUCGCUGGCAGAGAGUAUUCUGGAGCCCAGCAAAAGCCUCCAAAGCACUUGAGCUUCCCGAAAGAAAAACAGAAUAAAAGACCGAAAAGAAGGGAAGCCCGCUCCCGUAAAGCCCGGGUUUCCAAUAGUCUCGGAUCCGCCCGGAGCUGAGCAGAGGCGCAGUUGGCGGCGGCCCCUGCUCGCGCCCGGACUUGGAAAGACGGUUUUUUCCCCGCUUCGGGGAGGAGGGAGGUGAGGGACUCGCGGGCGAGAGUUGCACCUGGUCUAGGAGCGUUCAGAGAGGAGAACUCUGGGCAGGAGGAGAGCGGCCCCGGAGCGCGGCAGCCAGCCUCUGACCAUGCCCCGGUGAGGGGGGCGGACUUCGAGGGCAACUUGUCGCGGACUACCUGGCUUAGCCAGCGAGCUGCGAGCGCCGGCGGCCCGGAACUGUGCGGCGCGGCCCGGCGGGGGGCUAUCGUCUAUGUCUUCUUGGGGCGCCAGGCGGAUCGGGGUCUCGUUUUUGCAGGAAGAACCCGGCGCUGGUGGCUUCAGGUGGCUGCCGCCACCGCGGCUAGUGCUGUUUCCGCCUCUCGUGCGAGGAGCGGAGACCGGCGAACGGGGAGACCUCCGGGGCAGCGAGGCAUCGGACAUGUGUCAGCACAUCUGGGGCGCACAUCCGUCGAGCCCGAGGGGAGAUUUGCCGGAACAAUUCAAACUGCGAUAUUGAUCUUGGGGGUGACUGUCCCUGGCCGGCCGGCUGUCGGGUGGGAGUGCGAGUGUGCGCUCGCUCGCAAGUGUGUGCGUGUUUGUAUGUGUGUGUGCCGUGUCGGGCUCCCCCCUUCCCCCCCGUUUUCCCGUCGAGUGAUGCACUUGGAAUGAGAAUCAGAGGAUGGAAAUAGUCUGGGAGGUGCUUUUCCUUCUUCAAGCCAAUUUCAUCGUCUGCAUAUCAGCUCAACAGAAUUCACCAAAAAUCCAUGAAGGCUGGUGGGCGUACAAGGAGGUGGUCCAGGGAAGCUUUGUUCCAGGUA
Non-coding RNA from Leptonychotes weddellii (Weddell seal), 1095 nucleotides. Lineage: Eukaryota; Metazoa; Chordata; Mammalia; Carnivora; Phocidae. The record is from RefSeq and is a predicted model, not a curated record.